Durio zibethinus is the source of this 2221-nucleotide RNA transcript. It is a transcript of the gene named phosphatidylinositol/phosphatidylcholine transfer protein SFH11-like, with no coding region annotated. The record is from RefSeq and is a predicted model, not a curated record. Lineage: Eukaryota; Viridiplantae; Streptophyta; Magnoliopsida; Malvales; Malvaceae.
UUUCACAUUAGUGGAACUCAAAGAAACAUCUUUUUUUUUUUUUUCUGUACUUUUUGAACAAAUCUAUCAAAAAACUCAUGUAACUUCAAAUGUAAAUAUUCAGUUUUUGUGUUAAUUAGUUAAAGACUUCAAGUUCUUGUGAGUAAAGAAUAGAGUAGAGGUAGUUUUGUGACACCUGCAAAGAAAGAGAAUGUGGAGCAUUGAUCAUUGUUCAAUCACAUGUUGUAAUUGCAGCAGGUGAAAGAUAGGUUUUUUUUUUUUAUUUGUUUAUAUAUUUUUUUUGAGUUGAAUCGACUGUCAAUUAGAGUGCAUAUGCAUAAAUCAAAUGAGAAAUAUAGGGAAAUAUUUAUAGACAAAGGUGGUGGAGAAAGUGAGGACUCUCCCAAUAAAGAUACAUACCAGUUUCCGAAGGGGAUGAAUAAGCCUACCCAUCCACCAAUUGAGGCCCAUUUCCUCCUUCCUCCUCAAGGAGAGAGACCAGUUUCUUCAACAAGUUCAUCAGGCCUUAAGUCCGUGCUAUCAUAUCCACUCAAGGUUCGUGAUUCGUUGAAAAGACUUGGAAAGAGCAAAAGCAUGGAACUAAUUCUUGAAGGAACUCAUGAUCCAAAAGAUGAACAAAUUGUUCAGACUUUCCGGGAAUUACUUUUCCUUGAGGAUCAGUUACCGGUAAAGCACAAUGACUAUCAUACACUUUUACGGUUUCUAAGAAUGAGAGACUUUGAUCCGUCAAAAGCAAAAGAAAUGUUUCUGAAUUAUCUUCAGUGGCGCAAGGACUAUAGAGUUGAUGCAAUCCAAAAGGAGUUUAAGUUUGUUGAGCUUGCAGAGGUGAAGAAAUGCUAUCCUCAUGGAUUUCAUAGUGUAGAUCGAAGUGGUAGACCAGUAUACAUUGAAAGGGUUGGGAUGGUAGAUCUGAAUGCGUUACUACAAGUAACUAGCACAGACAGAUUUGUUAAGUAUCAUGUAUCAGAACAAGAGAAAACAUUAAAUUUGAGAUUUCCAGCAUGCUCAAUUGCAGCCAAGAGGCAUAUAGCAUCCACCACAAGUAUCUUAGAUGUGAAGGGAGUUGGAAUGUCUAAUUUCUCAAAGCCUGCACGAUAUCUCUUCAUGGAAAUUCAGAAGAUUGAUAGCAAUUACUACCCAGAGACUCUGAAUCGACUCUUCAUUAUCAAUGCUGGAUCUGGGUUCCGGGUGCUGUGGAAGGUACUCAAGGCCUUUAUGGAUGCAAGAACCUUGGCAAAAAUUCAUGUGCUGGGAUCUAACUAUCUUGGUAACCUAAUUGAAGUUAUUGAUCCUAGUAAUUUGCCGGCAUUUCUGGGUGGAAACUGUACAUGUGCUGACUAUGGAGGUUGCUUGUUAAGUGAUAAAGGACCAUGGAAUAAUCCAGAAAUUACAGAGAUGCUGCAGGCAAUUUCUGCAACAGAAGAGGCCAAUAAUGAAGGAAACAGUGACCUAGCUUCAGGAGAUGCUUUGUUGCAUGAUGUGGAUUAUGGUGAAAAAAAAGAAGACUUGAAAUAUGGGGAAAGGGCAAUGAGUGAUAGGCUUGCACCUCAAAAAAUCAUAGCACUUGAAGCUGCACUUGCAGACACCAAUAAAAAAAUUGAUGCAUUGGAAGUGGCACUUGAGGACACCAAGAUGGUCCUGAAAGGGCUUGCACAGCAUAUUAAAGAUCUGAGGGUUUGAACUUGCUGACAAAAUUGAUGUUUAAAGAAUAAAGGUACAUGAUAAAGGUUCAUGUGCUCUCCAACAAAUUUGGUUGCCAGAAAGCAUGUUCCACUCUCUCUAUUGGCAAUUAAAUGUGCCCUGGAAGCAGAUGAUAUGCAUUUCAACUUGAGAAGCAAACUAUCAUUUUAGAGGUUCUCUUUUGUGUUCAGACUAACCUGGUGGUUCUUCCCUUGGUGCUUCAGUUCUUGAGCACUGGUCAAGUGGGACCUCAAGGCCACCAUAUAUGAUCUAUACUGGUUGAUUAUGAGAACAUAUAACUGUAUCAAUGUGGUCUGGAACUCUGGAUCCAAAGCUACAAAACUCAUUGUGCACAUUUCAAACUCUGUGCAACUGUUUCUUUAGAACGCCAUUGUUUUGAUUGUUGAACUUAAGAGCUGUGGUGCAAUAGUAACUGCCAGGAAGGUAAACAUGUCUCUUGUUUCAUAAGUCAUGAAGCAGAUUACAUUUUCCUUUUCAAAUUCUCCCCAUUUUCAGGGCCAUUACAAUGUCAUUAUCCUGC